GUUAACUGGCUCGGUGACAGCUUGCUCAAAAAUUCUUUUCCCUAAGAGGUAAUGCCAAUACCUCUUGGAAGGACUGUUCUUGCUCAUGGACUCCGAGGGGCUAUAGAAGAAUGAAAGGAGAUGCAACCUGCUUUCCAGGAGUCUCAUGAGGAAGAUUGGACAGAUACAGAUAGAAGCAAAACAAACAUGCACAGAUAAGGAGGCUCCCAGGCUGCAGUAAACCAUCCAGUCCCGGUGGAAUCAUUCAUUGCAGGCAAGGAAACCAGGAGGCUCAAGAUUUUGUCAGAAGUGUCAGAGAAGAAUAUUUCAGAUGGAGGAGAUGGCUGUGGAGGGAAGCAAGCAUCGCCUGGAUAAAGCAGAUAAGAGCCUCUCUGCAUCAAAACUCACCCAUCCCUUCACCAGCCUGGAGCUCCUCAACUCAACUCUCUGACUGACCUACCUCCAUCGUCCUUAGGAAUGCCUUUGCAGAAGGCCCUGCCAAAGAAAGUGAGUAAAUGAAGGAAUGAAUGACAUCACCAAAAAUUCCAAGAAAUUUCAUUCUUCAGAUCACAGGUCCCCAACAUCUCACAUACCUGUACGUGGCACAAAAGGAUCCUGUUUCCUGUGUGCUAUUUUGGAAAAUGUGAUUAUGACUUCUGUGUGGGAAGGGAAGACACUCCCCAACAAUCCCAGUCCACCCAGGGCAUGGUGCAGGAGUAAGGCCCCGGUGACAGAAGAACGCUAGAACAGAGUGGGAGGAUGCUGAAGACAGUCUUCACCUGCUUCUCAUGCUCACACUGAACUCAAAGCAGUGGAAUUUUUGUCAGUUGCCCUAACCAGGUGUAGCUGAACUUGCCAUUCUCAGCUGCAAGGGGACUGUUUUGAUGAGCAAGGAAUGAAAGGAAAACUCUGAAUGUGGAUAUGACAGAAUAACAGCCUCUUCUCUCUCAAGAUUGCAUCUGUAUCUUCAAAGCCCUUAUACAGGCAAGUUCUCUUUCCCUUUGCUUUCUAAAAAUAGUAAAUAGUCCUGAGAUAUGUGUUGCUGUAAAAUAUUCUGUGAAACACUUUCA
This is a long non-coding RNA of Choloepus didactylus (southern two-toed sloth), 1049 nucleotides long. RefSeq lists it as uncharacterized. Lineage: Eukaryota; Metazoa; Chordata; Mammalia; Pilosa; Megalonychidae. The transcript has 5 exons. The record is from RefSeq and is a predicted model, not a curated record.